This 1384-nucleotide ribosomal RNA is filed under the name Leuconostoc pseudomesenteroides. RNAcentral's name for it is "bacterial SSU rRNA". It matches the Rfam family "Bacterial small subunit ribosomal RNA", at positions 67 to 1431 of the family's 1533-position model. The record is from RNAcentral. Lineage: Bacteria; Bacillati; Bacillota; Bacilli; Lactobacillales; Lactobacillaceae.
UUUUCACCGGAGCUUGCUCCACCGGAAAAAGAAGAGUGGCGAACGGGUGAGUAACACGUGGGUAACCUGCCCAUCAGAAGGGGAUAACACUUGGAAACAGGUGCUAAUACCGUAUAACAAUCGAAACCGCAUGGUUUUGAUUUGAAAGGCGCUUUCGGGUGUCGCUGAUGGAUGGACCCGCGGUGCAUUAGCUAGUUGGUGAGGUAACGGCUCACCAAGGCCACGAUGCAUAGCCGACCUGAGAGGGUGAUCGGCCACAUUGGGACUGAGACACGGCCCAAACUCCUACGGGAGGCAGCAGUAGGGAAUCUUCGGCAAUGGACGAAAGUCUGACCGAGCAACGCCGCGUGAGUGAAGAAGGUUUUCGGAUCGUAAAACUCUGUUGUUAGAGAAGAACAAGGAUGAGAGUAACUGUUCAUCCCUUGACGGUAUCUAACCAGAAAGCCACGGCUAACUACGUGCCAGCAGCCGCGGUAAUACGUAGGUGGCAAGCGUUGUCCGGAUUUAUUGGGCGUAAAGCGAGCGCAGGCGGUUUCUUAAGUCUGAUGUGAAAGCCCCCGGCUCAACCGGGGAGGGUCAUUGGAAACUGGGAGACUUGAGUGCAGAAGAGGAGAGUGGAAUUCCAUGUGUAGCGGUGAAAUGCGUAGAUAUAUGGAGGAACACCAGUGGCGAAGGCGGCUCUCUGGUCUGUAACUGACGCUGAGGCUCGAAAGCGUGGGGAGCAAACAGGAUUAGAUACCCUGGUAGUCCACGCCGUAAACGAUGAGUGCUAAGUGUUGGAGGGUUUCCGCCCUUCAGUGCUGCAGCUAACGCAUUAAGCACUCCGCCUGGGGAGUACGACCGCAAGGUUGAAACUCAAAGGAAUUGACGGGGGCCCGCACAAGCGGUGGAGCAUGUGGUUUAAUUCGAAGCAACGCGAAGAACCUUACCAGGUCUUGACAUCCUUUGACCACUCUAGAGAUAGAGCUUCCCCUUCGGGGGCAAAGUGACAGGUGGUGCAUGGUUGUCGUCAGCUCGUGUCGUGAGAUGUUGGGUUAAGUCCCGCAACGAGCGCAACCCUUAUUGUUAGUUGCCAUCAUUCAGUUGGGCACUCUAGCAAGACUGCCGGUGACAAACCGGAGGAAGGUGGGGAUGACGUCAAAUCAUCAUGCCCCUUAUGACCUGGGCUACACACGUGCUACAAUGGGAAGUACAACGAGUCGCGAAGUCGCGAGGCUAAGCUAAUCUCUUAAAGCUUCUCUCAGUUCGGAUUGUAGGCUGCAACUCGCCUACAUGAAGCCGGAAUCGCUAGUAAUCGCGGAUCAGCACGCCGCGGUGAAUACGUUCCCGGGCCUUGUACACACCGCCCGUCACACCACGAGAGUUUGUAACACCCGAAGUCGGU